GGGCCCGCACAAGCGGUGGAUUAUGUGGUUUAAUUCGAAGCAACGCGCAGAACCUUACCUAGGCUUGAAAUCCUGCGAACCCGACGUAAUUGUUGGGGUGCCCGCAAGGGAAUGCAGUGACAGGUGCUGCAUGGCUGUCGUCAGCUCGUGUUGUGAAAUGUUGGGUUAAGUCUCGCAACGAGCGCAACCCUCGUCCUAUGUUGCCAGCACGUAAUGGUGGGAACUCAUGGGAUACUGCCGGGGUCAACUCGGAGGAAGGUGGGGAUGACGUCAAAUCAUCAUGCCCCUUAUGUCUUGGGCUUCACGCAUGCUACAAUGGUCGGUACAGAGGGUUGCUAAGCCGCGAGGUGGAGCCAAUCCCAGAAAACCGAUCGUAGUCCGGAUCGUAGUCUGCAACUCGACUACGUG
This 408-nucleotide ribosomal RNA is filed under the name uncultured bacterium. Its description in RNAcentral is "bacterial SSU rRNA". It matches the Rfam family "Bacterial small subunit ribosomal RNA", at positions 917 to 1322 of the family's 1533-position model. The record is from RNAcentral.